Molecule: ribosomal RNA, 255 nt
Filed under: uncultured bacterium
Lineage: Bacteria
Description: partial 16S ribosomal RNA
Rfam family: Bacterial small subunit ribosomal RNA
Source: RNAcentral
UACAGAGGCCCCAAGCGUUACCCGGAAUCACUGGGCGUAAAGGGUGCGUAGGUGGCGUUGUUAGUCCUCUUUCAAAUCUUCCGAGCUCAACUCGGGAGCCCCGAGGGGAAACGGCAACGCUCGAGGAUGUACGAGGUACGUGGAACUCACGGUGUAGGGGUGAAAUCCGUUGAUAUCGUGGGGAACACCGAAUGCGAAGGCAGCGUACUGGGACAUUCCUGACACUGAGGCACGAAAGCGUGGGUAGCGAAAAGG